UGCGUAGGAGGGCAGGUAAGUCAGUGGUGAAAUCUCCAAGCUUAACUUGGAAACUGCCGUUGAUACUAUCUGUCUUGAAUAUUGUGGAGGUGAGCGGAAUAUGUCAUGUAGCGGUGAAAUGCUUAGAUAUGACAUAGAACACCAAUUGCGAAGGCAGCUCACUACACAAUUAUUGACUCUGAGGCACGAAAGCGUGGGGAUCAAACAGGAUUAGAUACCCUGGUAGUCCACGCCCUAAACUAUGGAUACUCGACAUACGCGAUAUACAGUGUGUGUCUGAGCGAAAGCAUUAAGUAUCCCACCUGGGAAGUACGACCGCAAGGUUGAA
RNAcentral lists this ribosomal RNA (328 nucleotides) under uncultured Flavisolibacter sp. Its description in RNAcentral is "bacterial SSU rRNA". It matches the Rfam family "Bacterial small subunit ribosomal RNA", at positions 568 to 898 of the family's 1533-position model. Lineage: Bacteria; Pseudomonadati; Bacteroidota; Chitinophagia; Chitinophagales; Chitinophagaceae. The record is from RNAcentral.